UACGUAGGGUGCAAGCGUUAAUCGGAAUUACUGGGCGUAAAGCGUGCGCAGGCGGUUUUGUAAGCCAGAUGUGAAAUCCCCGGCUUAACCUGGGAAUGGCAUUUGGGACUGCAAGGCUGGAGUGCGGCAGAGGAGACUGGAAUUCCUGGUGUAGCAGUGAAAUGCGUAGAUAUCAGGAGGAAUACCGAUGGCGAAGGCAGGUCUCUGGGCUGACACUGACGCUCAUGCACGAAAGCGUGGGGAGCAAACAGG
Molecule: ribosomal RNA, 252 nt
Filed under: uncultured bacterium
Lineage: Bacteria
Description: partial 16S ribosomal RNA
Rfam family: Bacterial small subunit ribosomal RNA
Source: RNAcentral